UUCCCCUAGUAACUGCGAGUGAAGCGGGAAAAGCUCAAAUUUAAAAUCUGGCGGUCUUUGGCUGUCCGAGUUGUAAUCUAGAGAAGUGUUAUCCGCGCUGGACCGUGUACAAGUCUCCUGGAAUGGAGCGUCAUAGAGGGUGAGAAUCCCGUCUUUGACACGGACUGCCAGGGCUUUGUGAUGCGCUCUCAAAGAGUCGAGUUGUUUGGGAAUGCAGCUCAAAAUGGGUGGUAAAUUCCAUCUAAAGCUAAAUAUUGGCGAGAGACCGAUAGCGAACAAGUACCGUGAGGGAAAGAUGAAAAGAACUUUGGAAAGAGAGUUAAACAGUACGUGAAAUUGCUGAAAGGGAAACGCUUGAAGUCAGUCGCAUUGUGUGGGAAUCAACCUUGCUUUUGCUGGGUGUAUUUUCCAUAUGAUGGGUCAGCAUCAAUUUUGACCGUUGGAUAAAGUUCAAGGGAAUGUGGCAUCUUCGGAUGUGUUAUAGCCCUUGGUCGUAUACAACGAUUGGGAUUGAGGAACUCAGCACGCCGAAAGGCCGGGUCUUGUACCACGUUCGUGCUUAGGAUGCUGGCAUAAUGGCUUUAAUCGACCCGUCUUGAAACACGGACCAAGGAGUCUAACAUGCCUGCGAGUAUUUGGGUGAAAAACCCGAGUGCGUAAUGAAAGUGAAAGUUGAGAUCCCUGUCAUGGGGAGCAUCGACGCCCGGACCAGACCUUUUGUGACGGAUCUGCGGUAGAGCAUGUAUGUUGGGACCCGAAAGAUGGUGAACUAUGCCUGAAUAGGGUGAAGCCAGAGGAAACUCUGGUGGAGGCUCGUAGCGAUUCUGACGUGCAAAUCGAUCGUCAAAUUUGGGUAUAGGGGCG
Molecule: ribosomal RNA, 864 nt
Filed under: Hypholoma fasciculare
Lineage: Eukaryota; Fungi; Basidiomycota; Agaricomycetes; Agaricales; Strophariaceae
Description: LSU rRNA
Rfam family: Eukaryotic large subunit ribosomal RNA
Source: RNAcentral